Molecule: long non-coding RNA, 1017 nt
Filed under: Sus scrofa (pig)
Lineage: Eukaryota; Metazoa; Chordata; Mammalia; Artiodactyla; Suidae
Description: lncRNA (ENSSSCG00015072156.1)
Source: RNAcentral
CUGUCAGUUUCAGUCCGCUGCCGGCAAACAGACUGGAACAACUAGGCAGACCAGGGCCGAAGGGGAAGGGAAAUCCUUGAGCAGUCAGAUCGCAUUGCAGGUGCACCCGCCACGGGGGCUCGGCGGAAGUUCCGUUCAGCUUUCCUUCCCAACGUUUUUGGGGUGCUGGGGACAGCGCUGCACCAGGAGGCUCUCCUCCCCUUUCUGAUCAAGCGAUCAACUUGGAGGAAAGGCGCCCAACGGCCAGCCCAGCCGCAGCUUCUUCAAACUGCGAAUAAGGGUGGAGAACUCCUGCUGUGCUGUAUUUGGAUGAUGGCGAUGACAGACCACAGAUGGAACACCCAGCGGGAGGAAAGUGGGAUUCUCCUGAGGAAGAAGGAUGUCUCCACAAAACAAAUCUGCUCAAAGCUCCAGAACUCUUCUUCUAAACCUCCUGCGUAGGGUGGCUCUUCCUCGGGGACAAAGAAUAAAAUCCACAUCAAUACAGAAUCUACUCCCUGCCUCUCCAGGGCCCGUGAUGUAAGAGACUGAAGCUCAUGCAGGGGAAGAGAUUUACCUAGUCAACCAACAAUGGAGAAGCACAGCUGCAAUCAGAACCCAGGACUCCAGACUCUCUUCCUGGUCCUCUUUCCAUUUUACCUAAUCUAGAGCCCCUCUCCUUUUCAAAAUAUGGAACACACGAGAGGUUCCAUUUCCUUUUGUUCUUAGUUGGCUAUCUAUUAAAAAAGGAACAAGGAGUUCCCACUGUGGCUCAGCAGGUUAAAAACCUGACAUAGUGUCUGUGAAGAUGCAGGUUUGAUCCCUGGCCUCACUCAGUAGGUUAAAGAUUGGGUGUGGCUGCAAGCAGCAACAUAGGUCGCAGAUGCUGCUCAGAUCAAGCAUUGCUGUGGCUGUGGUGCAGGCCAGCAGUUGCAGCUCUGAUCUGACCCCUGGCCAGGGAACUUCCAUAUGCCACAGGUGUGGCCAUAAAAAGAAAAAUAAAUAAAUGAAUAAAAGAGAAUGAAUUAGAUUAAUUUC